RNAcentral lists this ribosomal RNA (253 nucleotides) under uncultured bacterium. Its description in RNAcentral is "partial 16S ribosomal RNA". It matches the Rfam family "Bacterial small subunit ribosomal RNA", at positions 524 to 776 of the family's 1533-position model. The record is from RNAcentral.
GACGUAGGGCGCGAGCGUUGUCCGGAUUUAUUGGGCGUAAAGAGCUCGUAGGCGGCUCAUUGCGUCAACCGUGAAAUCCUGCUGCUCAACGGCAGGUCUGCGGUUGAUACGGGUGGGCUGGAGUUCGGUAGGGGAGACUGGAAUUCCUGGUGUAGCGGCGAAAUGCGCAGAUAUCAGGAGGAACACCGGUGGCGAAGGCGGGUCUCUGGGCCGAUACUGACGCUGAGGAGCGAAAGCGUGGGGAGCGAACAGG